Molecule: transfer RNA, 72 nt
Organism: Aspergillus aculeatus ATCC 16872
Lineage: Eukaryota; Fungi; Ascomycota; Eurotiomycetes; Eurotiales; Aspergillaceae
Rfam family: tRNA
About the family: Transfer RNA (tRNA) molecules are approximately 80 nucleotides in length.
Source: Rfam
GCCCCCGUGACGCAAUGGUAGCGUGCCAGACUUCUAAUCUGGAAGUUGCGAGUUCGAGCCUCGCCGGGGGCU